ACACGUGGGUAAUCUGCCCUUCGGCGGGGGACAACAGUCCGAAAGGAUUGCUAAUACCGCAUACGUCGGCGAGGAUGUCCUUGUCGGGAAAGCCGGCCUCUUCAUAAAGCUGGCACCGAGGGAUGAACCCGCGGCCCAUCAGCUAGUUGGUGAUAACGGCCCACCAAGGCAAAGACGGGUAGCUGUCUGAGAGGAUGAUCAGCCACACUGGGACUGAGACACGGCCCAGACUACGGGAGGCAGCAGUGGGGAAUAUUGGGCAAUGGCGCAAGCCUGACCCAGCCACGCCGCGUGAGUGAUGAAGGCCUUCUCGUAAAGCUCUGUGGGGAGGGACGAAAAAACGCUGCCAAUAUCCAGCGAACUGACGGUACCUCCUUAGCAAGCACCGGACUCCGUGCCAGCAGCCGCGGUAGGUGC
This 417-nucleotide ribosomal RNA is filed under the name uncultured bacterium. RNAcentral describes it as "bacterial SSU rRNA". It matches the Rfam family "Bacterial small subunit ribosomal RNA", at positions 113 to 526 of the family's 1533-position model. The record is from RNAcentral.